Molecule: ribosomal RNA, 742 nt
Filed under: uncultured bacterium
Lineage: Bacteria
Description: bacterial SSU rRNA
Rfam family: Bacterial small subunit ribosomal RNA
Source: RNAcentral
AGAGUUUGAUCAUGGCUCAGAAUGAACGCUGGCGGCGUGCUUAACACAUGCAAGUCGUACGAGAACGCUUCAGCUUGCUGAAGCAAGUAAAGUGGCGUACGGGUGAGUAACGCGUGGGUAAUCUACCUCUGAAUUGGGGAUAACAUUGCGAAAGCGAUGCUAAUACCGAAUAAUAUCUUUUAAGUUUCGGCUUUUAAGAUCAAAGGUGGUCUCUACAUGUAAGCUACUGUUUGGAGAUGAGCCCGCGUACCAUUAGCUUGUUGGUAGGGUAAUGGCCUACCAAGGCCGCGAUGGUUAGCUGGUCUGAGAGGAUGAUCAGCCACACUGGAACUGACACACGGUCCAGACUCCUACGGGAGGCAGCAGUGAGGAAUUUUGCGCAAUGGGGGAAACCCUGACGCAGCAACGCCGCGUGAGUGAUGAAGGCUUUCGGGUCGUAAAGCUCUGUCAAGUGGGAAGAACUAGAAAGAUACUAAUAUCGUCUUUCUCUGACGGUACCACUGAAGGAAGCACCGGCUAACUCCGUGCCAGCAGCCGCGGUAAUACGGGGGGUGCAAGCGUUAUUCGGAAUCAUUGGGCGUAAAGGGCGCGUAGGCGGCUCCUUAAGUCAGAUGUGAAAGCCCGGGGCUUAACCUCGGAAGUGCAUUUGAAACUAAGGGGCUUGAGUAUGGGAGAGGGAAGUGGAAUUCCUGGUGUAGAGGUGAAAUUCGUAGAUAUCAGGAGGAACACCGGUGGCGAAGGC